UUUACAUUUCAAUCACCAUAUUAUUCCAACAAGGUUCCAUAGCAAUAUUAGAAAAUGGUCGCUUUAUAUAUUUAGACAUAGCAAUAACUAAUAACCUUGCAGCUGUAAUUUCAAGCCAAAGUGUAAGGCAGGUUAAUUAGACACUUCGGAGAAGCAUGAUGCAACCAUUGCUAAGGUUGACCAAGACAUUUCCUUUGCUUUCCGCAAAAAGCAAAAAUUUGCUUUCCGCAACAAGGCAACCCCUAAUUAGGACUUUCAAGAAACUAAGUUCACACUGGAUAAAAGAAGGAACAUUCAUGAGAUUUUCAACAUUCAUCGGACAAGGAAUACUUGAGGCAGAUAUGUAGUCUGUAAGCUUACACAUAUAAUAGGUGUUUGUCAAACUGUGCUUGGAGACCAAGAAUGAGUACUCUGAUUUUAAUCACAACAGAAGGCAGCAUCCUGUUUGCUACUUUCUCCUUCAUUUGAGUCUUCCACUUAGCCCUGCAAAUGAAAUGAAACUCGGGAUCAUCCACCAUUUCCAUCUUAUAUAAAGCACAAUAAAGGAUAAAUACAACAUCAACGUUCUAAUUUAUCAUACUUUCUGAUCAGAUCCAUGGUUCUGACUUUAUGCACUGAUCCUUUGUUCUUAUACCUGAAUGUUCACCUAGAUGCUAGACCCCUGGCCUUAAACCCUAAACCCCAGUACCUAGACCACACUACCUAGUACCUAAACCAGUUGAAAAAGCUCCAUAAUUUUCGCCAACCUGCAAUUAGAAAGCCAUGAAAAGAAGGAAGGAAGAGUUAUUUUUAUCAUAAAAAAGAAAUGAAAAGAAACAGCUACAUAUUCUCGCCAACUUGUGAAAAUCAAAUUAAAAUUAGUCCAAAACCAACCUUAGCAAUGAGACCCAUGAGACGAUGGUUGAGCAUGACCUAAAAACUCACCAAAACCGCUUAAAGAUAUAUCAAAUGGGAGCUCAAGGGUCCAAUGCCGGAAAAUGAGACACAAAUAGGAUAAUAUAGAGGUCAUCAAUAAAUUGACUCAAACUAGUGUAGCUUAUCAUGACUAAACAGCGACAUUUCAAUCAGGUCAUCAAGCAACGAGUCAUGAAGCAUCAAGCCCGACCACACAAUAAAAAAUCAAUGUUCCGCAAAGAAGUACAAGUGAAAUUCACGCAUAUCGUGCUAAUGAAAAUAAAACUUGCCAAUCGAGAAUACCAUUUCGUUUCCAUUAUCUUACCUUCGUGACACAAGAGGAAGUAGAAAACAUGGGGAAUUCUGGUCUGAGUAUUUUUUCCUGACUUGCAUGGAGGGGUGUUCACUCAUCCUCACCUUCUUUGUACUUGUGUUAGAGCGCACCAACUCAUCAUUUCACUUAGGUAAUGAACUUCCUAACACUUUUUUACACAACAUCCCUUGUUUUUUUCCCUCAAUGAAGGCGUGGUUAUCACCAAUGGUCAGGCAAGAUCUGAUUAAAGAUCCUUGU
RNAcentral lists this long non-coding RNA (1465 nucleotides) under Linum usitatissimum (flax). RNAcentral's name for it is "long non-coding RNA (LUSI_LNC002968)". The record is from RNAcentral. Lineage: Eukaryota; Viridiplantae; Streptophyta; Magnoliopsida; Malpighiales; Linaceae.